GCCUGAACUCCAGUAGGGCCCAAGCCAGCCAGGAAGGAGGAGGCAGCCAGAGUGUUCUCUGCAGCAGAAGACCCUUUGCUGCCCUGCUUAACCCAGACCAGCAUUUGCCAGAUUCUGCAGGGCUUUUCGCAGAGAAGAUGGAGUGGACGUGAUCUCUGUUGUUUCAGGCAGCAACAGAGAGGGCAGGACUAGAAUCGAUGGGCUGAAGCACAAAGAAGCAGAUGUGGGCCUGACAUUGGGGAGGAUUUCUUAAUGAAUCUGCUGGUCCAUAGAACCUGCAUUACAGGAGCAGUCUAUCCACAUGUAUCAAAUCCUCCCUCAAUCCCAUGCUUUGUCAUAGGAAUCUCCAGGAUACGGCCCUCCCCAUGUGGAAACUGACAAGACAAAAUGUACUUAGAUAAAA
Long non-coding RNA from Hemicordylus capensis (graceful crag lizard), 403 nucleotides. RefSeq lists it as uncharacterized. NCBI's taxonomy places the organism in Eukaryota, Metazoa, Chordata, Lepidosauria, Squamata, Cordylidae. The transcript has 3 exons. The record is from RefSeq and is a predicted model, not a curated record.